This 482-nucleotide ribosomal RNA is filed under the name uncultured bacterium. RNAcentral's name for it is "bacterial SSU rRNA". It matches the Rfam family "Bacterial small subunit ribosomal RNA", at positions 791 to 1272 of the family's 1533-position model. The record is from RNAcentral.
UAGUCCACGCCGUAAACGAUGUGUGCUAGAUGUCGGGUCCAUAGGAUUCGGUGUCGCAGCUAACGCACUAAGCACACCGCCUGGGGAGUACGGUCGCAAGAUUAAAACUCAAAGGAAUUGACGGGGACCCGCACAAGCGGUGGAGCAUGUUCUUUAAUUCGACGCAACGCGAAGAACCUUACCUACACUUGACAUCCUGAUCGCGUUUUCUAGAGAUAGAUUACUUCAGUUCGGCUGGAUCAGUGACAGGUGCUGCACGGCUGUCGUCAGCUCGUGUCGUGAGAUGUUUGGUUAAGUCCAGCAACGAGCGCAACCCUUGUCUUUAGUUGCCAUCAUUUAGUUGGGCUCUCUAGAGAAACUGCCGGUGACAAACCGGAGGAAGGUAAGGAUGACGUCAAGUCAGCAUGCCCCUUACGCUCUGGGCUACACACGUGCUACAAUGGUGCAUACAGAGGGUAGCGAACUAGCAAUAGUAAGCCAAU